RNAcentral lists this ribosomal RNA (250 nucleotides) under uncultured bacterium. RNAcentral describes it as "partial 16S ribosomal RNA". It matches the Rfam family "Bacterial small subunit ribosomal RNA", at positions 524 to 772 of the family's 1533-position model. The record is from RNAcentral.
UACGUAGGGUGCGAGCGUUAAUCGGAAUUACUGGGCGUAAAGCGUGCGCAGGCGGUCGCCGCAAGUCGGGUGUGAAAGCCCCGGGCUCAACCUGGGAAUUGCAUUCGAGACUGCGUAGCUAGGGUGCGGAAGAGGAGAUUGGAAUUCCUGGUGUAGCGGUGAAAUGCGCAGAUAUCAGGAGGAACAUCGAUGGCGAAGGCAGCCCCCUGGGCCGCUACUGACGCUCAUGCACGAAAGCGUGGGGAGCAAA